RNAcentral lists this ribosomal RNA (443 nucleotides) under uncultured bacterium. RNAcentral's name for it is "SSU rRNA". It matches the Rfam family "Bacterial small subunit ribosomal RNA", at positions 26 to 518 of the family's 1533-position model. The record is from RNAcentral.
AGAGCGAACGCUGGCGGCAGGCCUAACACAUGCAAGUCGAACGAACCUUCGGGUGAGUGGCGGACGGGUGAGUAACACGUGGGAACGUACCUUUAGGUUCGGAACAACACAGGGAAACUUGUGCUAAUACCGAAUGUGCCCUUCGGGGGAAAGAUUUAUCGCUGAAGGAUCGGCCCGCGUCUGAUUAGCUAGUUGGUGAGGUAACGGCUCACCAAGGCUACGAUCAGUAGCUGGUCUGAGAGGAUGAUCAGCCUCACUGGGACUGAGACACGGCCCAGACUCCUACGGGAGGCAGCAGUGGGGAAUAUUGGACAAUGGGCGCAAGCCUGAUCCAGCCAUGCCGCGUGGGUGAUGAAGGCCCUAGGGUUGUAAAGCCCUUUCGGCGGGGAAGAUAAUGACGGUACCGCAGAAGAAGCCCCGGCUAACUUCGUGCCAGCAGCCGC